Molecule: long non-coding RNA, 1044 nt
Organism: Dreissena polymorpha
Lineage: Eukaryota; Metazoa; Mollusca; Bivalvia; Myida; Dreissenidae
Exons: 2
Source: RefSeq, a predicted model, not a curated record
GCUCGAAAAUGUUAAAGUUCUUAUUUCAUGGUAUAACUUUGGUAUGCUUGGACCUAGAGUCUUCAAACUUGACAUGAAGGUUGGCCAGGAUUAACAGAUGACCACUGGUCAUUUCAAGGUCAUUCAUUUGAAGGUCAAGGUCACUGUGACCUUCAAUAUAAAAAAUGUUAAAGUUCUUAUAACUUUGGUAUGCUUGGACCUAGAGUCUUGAAACUUGACAUGAAGGUUGGCCAUAACUAGUUAGUAACCACUGGUCAUUUCAAGGUCAUUCAUUUGAAGGUCAAGGUCACUGUGACCUUGAAUGUAAAAAUGUUAAAGUUCUUAUUUCAUGGUAUUACUUUGGUAUGCUUGGACCUAGAGUCUUCAAACUUGACAUGAAGGUUGGCCAGGAUUAACAGAUGACCACUGGUCAUUUCAAGGUCAUUCAUUUGAAGGUGAAGGUCACUGUGACCUUCAAUAUAAAAAUGUUAAAGUUGUUACAACUUUGGUAUGCUUGGACCUAGAGUCUUGAAACUUGACAUGAAGGUUGGCCAGAACUAGUAAGUAACCACUGGACAUUUCAAGGUCAUUCAUUUGAAGGUCAAGGUCACUGUGACCUUGAAUGUAAAAAUGUUAAAGUUGUUAUAACUUUGGUAUGCUUGGACCUAGAGUCUUGAAACUUGACAUGAAGGUUGGCCAGAACUAGUAAGUAACCACUGGACAUUUCAAGGUCAUUCAUUUGAAGGUCAAGGUCACUGUGACCUUGAAUGUAAAAAUGUUAAAGUUCUUAUUUCAUGUUAUAACUUUGGUAUGCUUGUACCUAGAGUCUUCAAACUUGAAAUAAAGAUUGGCCAGUACUAGAAGAUGACCACUGGUCAUUUCAAUGUCAUUCAUUUGAAGGUCAAGGUCACUGUGACCUUAAAUGUUAAAAUGUUAAAAUUGUUAUAACUUUGGUAUGCUUGGACAUAGAGUCUUCAAACUUGACAUGAAGGUUUGCAAGCACACUUAGAUGACCACUGGUCAUUUCAAGGUCAUUCAUUCUAAGGUCAAGGUCACUGUGAACAA